AUGGCUGAGCGGUAAAGCACUAAGCUUCCAAACUGGAGGUCCUGGUUUCAAAUACUAGU
This 59-nucleotide transfer RNA is filed under the name Biomphalaria glabrata. It matches the Rfam family "tRNA", at positions 7 to 64 of the family's 71-position model. Rfam says of the family: Transfer RNA (tRNA) molecules are approximately 80 nucleotides in length. Their secondary structure includes four short double-helical elements and three loops (D, anti-codon, and T loops). Lineage: Eukaryota; Metazoa; Mollusca; Gastropoda; Planorbidae. The record is from Rfam by way of RNAcentral.